CGCAUCACGCGUUCAAACUAACAGGCACACAUAAAACUAUGUGCCAGUUCCAGGCACAGGCAAAGGGUCUUACACAAAAGCACCCUCAUUUUGUUUACCUUGAACAACAGAGGUAUUGACUAAGAGAGAUAAUAAUUGUGAAAAUGGAGAAUGAGAUGAUCAAGAUAAAGAGAGAAGCAGUUGAGAAUCAAAAGCUCUCCAGAGAGAGUAAGGGAAAGUCUAUGCUAACAGCUCUACAACUUUAAUCACCACACAAUUUCAACAACAUUAUUACCUUCUUCUCAACACUUCUAGAGCAGGAAUUAUGGAAUAAUUCCAUGGGGACUAGAACAACCUCCAGGAAGUGAUGCAGAGUGAGAGGAGCACAACCAGGAAAACAUCGUACACAGAGACUGAUACACUGUGGUACAAUCGAAUGUAAUGGACUUCUCCAUUAGUGGCAAUGCAGUGAUUCUGAACAACUUGGAGGAAUCUACGAGAAAGAACACUAUCCACAUCUAGAGGAAAAACUGUGGGAGUAGAAACACAGAAGAAAAACAACUGCUUGAAUACAUGGGUCGAAGGGAUAUGAUUGGGGAUGUAGAUUCUAAAUGAACAUCCUAGUGCAAACAUCAACAACAUGGAAAUAGGUUUUGAUCAAGGACACAUGUAAAACCCAAUGAAAUUGCGUGUU
Long non-coding RNA from Monodelphis domestica (gray short-tailed opossum), 673 nucleotides. RefSeq lists it as uncharacterized. The record is from RefSeq and is a predicted model, not a curated record. NCBI's taxonomy places the organism in Eukaryota, Metazoa, Chordata, Mammalia, Didelphimorphia, Didelphidae.